GGGGGCGUUCCGGAUUCGACGCCGGUAUCAACUCCUGCGGUGCAUGCCGAGAGCGUAAUGACUCUCGUAAAUCAAUCAUUACAACUUUAUAGUUGCCAACGACGACAACUACGCUCUAGCGGCCUAAACAGCCCGCUAGCGAUUGCCUCAGGGAUGCCUGUAAACAUGAGUUUUGCAAUCGUCAUAUAGAACAGGAUCGCGGAAAGGCUGUCUGGGGCCGGACCGUUAAAACUUAACCAGACUCGCCCAAGUCACCCUGCCCGUCGGGCGGAUGAGGGUUAAUUUAAUAGACGACGCUAAGCAUGUAGAUCCAAUGGACAAGAACUGACGGACGGGAGUUCAACUCUCCCCGCCUCCACCA
This 361-nucleotide transfer-messenger RNA is filed under the name Pseudohongiellaceae bacterium. It matches the Rfam family "transfer-messenger RNA". From Rfam's summary of the family: Bacterial tmRNA, also known as 10Sa RNA or SsrA, is named for its dual tRNA and mRNA-like properties. The record is from RNAcentral. RNAcentral also lists the same sequence under 2 other names. Lineage: Bacteria; Pseudomonadati; Pseudomonadota; Gammaproteobacteria; Pseudomonadales; Pseudohongiellaceae.